GAUAAAAUAAGCUAAUGUAAGCUGUUGGGUUCAUACCCCAAAAAUGAGGCAUCUCUUUUAUUA
Molecule: transfer RNA, 63 nt
Filed under: Amphiporus formidabilis
Lineage: Eukaryota; Metazoa; Nemertea; Enopla; Monostilifera; Amphiporidae
Description: tRNA-Met
Source: RNAcentral